UCUUUGAUUGUGGUUAGCACCUCCACACUUUUUGCAAACAAUUUUUCUCUACUUGCUUUGUUCUAUCCCAAUCUCUUUCCCGCUCUUGAUUCUAUUAUCAUGAUGGCAUCUCUUGUAGCUUCCAACUAGUGGGUUUUUGAAUCUGAUUAGAGUCUGGCUUCGGAUACCCUAUCAUUGAUGAUAUGACAUCAUAUUUCUUCUUUAACGGUGUGUUUGAGUUAUCAGCUUCUACCUCAAGCUUCAAUGCCUUGAGCUUGUUAACAAACUCCUCAAGCUUUUUCUCAUCCGACCCAAUUCGUUGUAAAGAAUCAUCUAUAACUGAACUUGCUUCAUUUAUCAAGUUUUGAACAGACUCAAACCCGCUCAUGAAGUUUACUAAAUUUGAUCCUGACUUUGUGAAAUGAGAAAAGAAUGCGAUCCCGCUCUCGGAUCUUGAAGUUGUUCUCAUCAACCCAAACAUUUAUGUGUCAAUAAAGUAUGCAGGUACUCGGGCAUUGAAGAAGUAACGAGUUAAGUUGCGUUAUUAUUCUCUUUGAGGUUAGAUAGCAGUGAAACAAGUAGCAAGUGAGAGAUGGGGUAGCUAUAGUGAUGAUAGAAGAUGGCAUUUUAGUUUUCCCUAUUUAGUAUUACUUAUGCAGACUGAUUUAUUAUGUCGUUUGACACUUCGUAUUGUUGUUUAUGGAUUUCUUGAAUUGUCGUUGUGAUGCAAUAAGUAACACCAAAACUAUGAUUGAGAAAA
Erigeron canadensis is the source of this 739-nucleotide long non-coding RNA. RefSeq lists it as uncharacterized. The transcript is spliced from 4 exons. NCBI's taxonomy places the organism in Eukaryota, Viridiplantae, Streptophyta, Magnoliopsida, Asterales, Asteraceae. The record is from RefSeq and is a predicted model, not a curated record.